Molecule: non-coding RNA, 142 nt
Organism: Caenorhabditis elegans
Lineage: Eukaryota; Metazoa; Nematoda; Chromadorea; Rhabditida; Rhabditidae
Source: Ensembl
CUACCUUGGUUACGUGUGAAUUAACUUUGAUGACAAGAGAAAAAUAAAGAUGAUACAAAUAAUGCCAAUUUGCGUGUUAAUCACUGUUUUAAUCUUUGUCACAGUUCAGAAAGAAACCGUUUUUCCAUGCAAAUUCAAGACG